RNAcentral lists this ribosomal RNA (215 nucleotides) under uncultured bacterium. Its description in RNAcentral is "partial 16S ribosomal RNA". It matches the Rfam family "Bacterial small subunit ribosomal RNA", at positions 28 to 230 of the family's 1533-position model. The record is from RNAcentral.
GACGAACGCUGGCGGCGUGCUUAACACAUGCAAGUCGAGGGCACUAUUGGGGCAACCUGGUAGUGACCGGCGAACGGGUGCGUAACACGUGAGCGACCUUGCCUCGUGGUGGGGGAUAGCCGGCCCAACGGCCGGGUAAGUACCGCAUAUGGUAGUUUCUUCGCAUGAGGAGACUAGCAAAGCCUUGGAGCAAUCCAAUGGCGCCACAGGGGGGC